This 443-nucleotide ribosomal RNA is filed under the name uncultured bacterium. Its description in RNAcentral is "bacterial SSU rRNA". It matches the Rfam family "Bacterial small subunit ribosomal RNA", at positions 42 to 507 of the family's 1533-position model. The record is from RNAcentral.
GCGGAGCCAUCCAAACAAUCCCUUCGGGGGUGCGUUUGGGGGAAGCUUAGCGGCGGACGGGUGAGUAACACGUGAGUAACCUGCCCCAAAGAGGAGGAUAACAUACCGAAAGGUAUGCUAAUACUGCAUAACAUAUAUGUGUCGCAUGGCAUAUAUAUCAAAGAUUUAUCGCUUUGGGAUGGACUCGCGGCCGAUUAGGUAGUUGGUGAGGUAAUGGCUCACCAAGCCGACGAUCGGUAGCCGGACUGAGAGGUUGAACGGCCACAUUGGGACUGAGACACGGCCCAAACUCCUACGGGAGGCAGCAGUGGGGAAUAUUGCACAAUGGGGGAAACCCUGAUGCAGCGACGCCGCGUGAACGAAGAAGUAUUUCGGUAUGUAAAGUUCUAUCAGCAGGGAAGAUAAUGACGGUACCUGACUAAGAAGCACCGGCUAAAUACGUG